CCAUACCAGAAGAUAUCAAACAUCUUACGAUGUGGUCUGUUACAGAACACGUGGUCUUGGUUUUUCAGAAUCUCGCGUGCUGCUUCAGUGUUUGAGACCACAAGAACUGGCACCUUCCCAAAGUAAAGCAUCACUAGAGGGCCAUAGGUUUGAGCAAAGGAUUGGAGAGUGUGGUGAGUGAGGUUGCCAAGUUGGUGUAGGUUUCCUAUUAUUGGAAGCUUUGGAGGAGAUGGAGGUAGCUUUUUUGCUGAUUUGGAAUUCAGUUUGGAUAGAAGAUUGAAUAUGGUGGGAAAGGCUAGCAAGAUGAAGAAUGCUAGCAUGGGAAUGAAGAACCACAAGGAAAUGGUUCCAUUCAGAAAAUUCGUCAUUGGCUUCUACUUCAAGAUUAUGUUCAGUCGUGGAUUUUGUAAUAAUGUGCUGUAAUGUGUUGGCUUGUUUCACAAGGGAUACAUAUAUUGCUAAAAAAAGUCAUGAUGGGAAGUUGAAUAAAGAUGCGGAGCACUUGGGACCAUAAGAUUGACUUUAUGCUUCUCCCAAUCUAUCAAUGAGAUAUGUAACUCACUCCGAGUAUGUAACCAAUCAUGAAAGAUAUAUAAGCAUGUCACUUUAGUUUAGUAAAGAUAAAAGAAAUUUUAUACUCGAUUUUAUAAAGGUGGAGUUAAAUUUAAAUUCAGUCUAGCGAAAGUUAGUUGAAUUUAUCACUAUCGAACUAUCCAUAAAUAUAUAAUUUCACACACGAGUUGAUAGUCUCAGCACGAUAAGGUAUAUUAAAGAUUACACAUCGACUAGAUAUAAAAAUAUUUUAUAAUAUAUAAUAUUUACAAACCUUAACUUUGAACCCGUUUUAUAAGUUUAAAUUACACUUCAAGUUCACUUAAUAAAUAUUUUUAUGAAGUAAAUUAAUGUUAUUUUAUCAACAUAAUCUCCCUUCCUUAAACAUUUAGGUCUUCAUCAUGUCUACUCACAUAAAUAUAAUGAAAUUAUUAAAUAAAGAUGGAUGAAUUAUUCCUUUUGUGAAUAGUCUUUUUGUUGCCUAAAGAAUAUAUGUAUUAAUAAACAUAACACGUAAAGAGUAUUUAACCCUUUUAUACAUGUUUUAUGUAACAUCCCAUAAAAUACAUCUAACUAUUACAAUACAAUUAGUUCUACAGAUUUUUACACAAACUUUUUAAAAAUAUUUCUAUUCUAAGAUGUUUACUUAUAGAAAUACAAAUAUUAACAAUAUAAGAUUUAAAAACUACAUCUUAAAGCCCUCCAGAACCUCCGACACAUAUACGAUCAUCUGCUCAUGUACAUAAUACAGUCAUCGCAGUUCACAACACAUUAAGCUAGUGAAAAUAAAGUUUUAUAAUAUACACGAUUAAAUCAAAAGAGAAAACCAAAUUACAUGGAUCAAUUUAUCAAUUAUUCAAUCUUCUUCAAAUCCCAACAUAAAACAAUCACAUAAAUCUCACAUGGAUCUACACAUCCAUGAUAUUCAACAAACAACGUCUUCCGGAAGAUCCAUAUUAAGUAAGUCCUACCAGAGACUAACACCUGAUCCAAAAAUUACCAAGAAAUCCAAGAGAAAUGAUUAGGGUAAGUUCAAUACAAUCCAAGUCGUGUAUCUCAUAUGUCACGAUGUACAUGAAAUCCUCCAUCAGCUUCUCACCACCCCACCUGAUAUGUCUAUAUGACUUAGAUCAUCAGUGAAGCUCGAAGAUCUCCGAUACCACAUAGACAUCAAUACUUAAUACACAAACAAACAUUAGUCCAUACAUUAUCCCAAAUGUAUGAAUUCAAUUCCAUACCAUUUUCAUCAUACAGUAUCAUUUAAAACACGAUCCAGAACAUUCAAAAGUCUUAUUAACAUAAAAAAACAACACUUAAAUAUUAAACCAUCAAAAUCCAAUAUUUCUACAAGUUUAAAUAAUAUAUAAAUAAAAACACAAUAUAUAAACACGCAACAUCCCUACAAGAGAAAUUAAAUAUAUAGAUUACGUUCCCUUCACAUCCAGAUCUUCUAGCCUAGGUGCUAUUAAAAAUUUAAGUUAGCUUCCCUUACCUGAAAUUUCACUGAUAGAAAUUUCACCUCAAACAGAGGAACCACUCCAAAAUUUAGGAACCUAUAACAAGUUAUCCAAAUAUUACCAAAUUUUAGUUUAUAGUAAAAGAAGUUGAGAGGAACACUUUUCUCACUUGUCCCCAUCGGGAUUGAUGACUAAAUCACAGAGAAAAACCUAGAAUAGAAGAUCUUUAGAAUAAAAAUGAACUCACUUUGUUUGAAAAUCUGAUUGGCUAGAAAUCUAGCCUGACUCUUUAGCUACAGUAUGGCGUGAUCAGAUUUUGGAAUAGAUGAGAUAUGGGAGAGAAAAUGAAGAGAGAAGGGAGAGAUGAGAAGUUGGGAGAACUACAAAAAAAAAUAAGAAUCAUCUAUGAAUUUUUAACCACGAAUAUGAAUCCAUAGGUAAAUUCAGCAUUACCUACAGACAAUAUUAUCUACUAAUAUUACCCACAGAUCUGAAUUCGUAGGUAAAUUUAGCAUUACCUACCAAUUAUUACCCACAAAUCUCUAUUAUCUACCAACUAUAACGAAUCUCUAUUACCUACCAAUUAUUACCCACAGAUCUUUAUUACUAACAACUUUUAUCCAUAGAUUUCUAUUACCUACCAACUAUUACCUACAAAUCUCUAUUACCUACCAAUUAUUAUCAUAAUAAUUAUAUACAUAAUAUUUAAAAUAUUAUUAUAAUAUGAAUAAUUAUAAAAUUAUAACUAAUAUUCAUAAAUAAUAAUAAUCAUAGAUAUACAUAUUAUUAAUAUUAUAAAAUAAAUAAUAUUAAUAUAAUAAUAUAAAUAAUAUUAUUAGUAUUAUAUUAAUAAUAUGAAUAAUAUUAUUAUUAAUAAUAUGAAUAAUAUUAUUAUUAAUAAUAUGAAUAAUAUUAUUAUUAAUAAUAUGAAUAAUAUUAUUAUUAAUAAUAUGAAUAAUAUUAUUAUUAAUAAUAUGAAUAAUAUUAUUAUUAAUAAUAUUAAUAGUAUUAGCAAUAUUAAUAGUAUUAAUGAUAUUAAUAAUAUGAAUAAAAUUAAUCAUAUUAUUAAUAAUAAUAUUAAUAAUAUUUGUUAGUAUUAAUAAUAUUUGAUAGUAUUACUAAUAUUUGAUAGUAUUACUAAUAUUUGAUAGUAUUACUAUUAUUUGAUAAUAUUACUAUUAUUUGAUAAUAUUAGUAAUAUUUAAUAAUAUUAAUAAAUUAAUAAUAUUAGUAAUAUUUAGUAACAUUAAUAAUAUUAAUAACAUUAUUAUAAUAAUUAAUAAUGUUAUUAAUUUGAAUAAUAAUAAUAUUAAUGAAAUUAAUAAUAGAAAUGAUAUUAAAUAUAUGAAAUAUAUUAAUAAUAUUUAUAUUUUUAAUUAUAUUAAUAUUGAUAAUCAUUUUAAUAAGUAUAAUAAUAAUAUCAUGAUAACAAAAUUUGAUUGGUUUAAUGGUUGAAGAUUUUUUGGUCAUUCCUCAAUAAACUUGGUUUCGAGUCCCAAAUUGGGUUCUUUUUAAGAAAUUCAAUGAAAAUGUUUUUUACUUUUUGCUCUUGAAAAAUUGGCAAAUUGAACUUAUAUUUGCUACUAUCAAACAUCAAUAUUUUGUUCUUCCAUUUCAAACAUAGUCAAAUAUCAAUAAUUCAAUUAAAAUAAAAAUCAAAUAUCAAUAUUUUUCUAUUUCAAAAAUAUUAAACAUAAAUACCGCUACAAUAAACAUAGUUGGAGCAUUGAAAUGAAUAAAAAAUAAAAACUGAUUUUUUUUUUAAUCCAACUUGUCUUAUCAUUAUCAAGUCAACAUACAAACUUUUUUUAAAUAAGUCAGCGGACCAGCCAUUCCGCCCAACUGUUUGUACGCACAAACUCAAAUUAUGCAAGACGGAUUAAAGCGGAUCAGCAGAUUGAAAAAUGAAUCCAUCCAGCAUUUUUACUAGCGGGUUAUGAUUGCCCACCCACCCACUUUGCUAUCCCUAAAAAAAUUAUGAAGGAAGGGGUGGCGGCUGCUCUGUUGUGUUUUACGGGAUUUACACUUUAUGAAUCGUUAAACUUGCAUCCUUCCUAGAACUUUCACAUAAUUACUCACUUUAGUUUUUCAAACUUUUCAUGUGUGCCAACUUAACUUUGACCCUUUUUUUUCUAUGGAGGCAAAAGUAAAACUUAAUAAAUAAUGAAUCUAUUUUUUUCCCUUCAUUCUCUUCCAAUGCAAACAAGAAUUAUUGGUUUACAAGUGUGAAAAGAUGCACAAAAAUACUCAAAUUUUAUUUAUUUUACUUUAGACUUAUGUGUUGUCUUAAUUAAGAUAUUCUAGUUGCAUCCUUUUCUCACAAGGAAAUGGCAUGGCGGCAACCUGUUGAAGUGGCCAUAAAUGUUUUGUUUCCACAUAUCAAAUCACGUCUCCUUAUUAUAACGAAUGAUUGAAGGUAGUUGUCCCCACUACGUACUAACGGAUAAGGAAGUAUCUUUUUAGUGUGUACUGUUAAGAUAUCAGCACACUGCUAAUUUAACCCAUGCCUUGUUGCACUAUUAAAAUUUUCUUCUCAUUAUUCUCCCAUUAAUGUGUUUAGAUGAAGAAAAUAGAGCUUGAAUAGGAAUGGAUUGACCUUGAGGACUGAAGUGAAAACUGUUCAAAAAAUAGAAGGUGCUUUUGCAUCUAUUAUCAAAACCCAUCUUUCUUAUUAUUGUAGUCUUUUCCUUUCUUGCACAAUCACUUUCGUUAGUAUCUUCUUCAACCGCCUCAUUAUUGACAUAUAUUAAAGAUCUUUCUUCUCACUUGUGUUCAAAUGUUACAAAGAAAAUCGUAUAUAGUAGCAGAAACUUUACCAGAAUAAUCAACACUUAAGAGCUUAGAUAACAUCCCAAAAUAUUACAAGAAUAAUAAACUUCACAACUACUUAAGAUUGUUUAGCUAUCUUUGGCAGAACGAUCCAAAGUAAGCUCAUUAAUUCAUUACUACAAUAUUGAGAGUAGAUUGCAUUAUUUUCCUUUCAAGUUAUUUUCUAUAUCUUUAACAUUCACUUCUUAUUCAUGAUGGGAUGCAAUUGCCAUGAGAGGGAAUUUUCUGUGACUGCUCAACCCUGUAGUUUCAGUCAUGUCCAGUGUCUUAUCUCCCACUACUCCACUAGGCACUUCCCAAUUAAACUGAUGAACAAGGUUUGCUAGGACCAGCUCAAUCUCAUUCAUGGCAAACAUUAUUCCUGGACAACCCCUCCUUCCUGCUCCAAAUGGUAUCACUUCAAAAUCAUGUCCUUUCACAUCUAUUGAACUAUUUAAGAACCUCUCUGGUUCAAACUCUUCAGCUUUGUCCCAAUAAGAAGGAUCUCUUCCAAUUGCCCAAGCAUUCACUAUUGCUUGUGUACCAGCUGCAAUGUCAUAGUCCAUCACUUUUACAUCUUCCAUGGAUUCCCUUGGAAGCAACAAGGGACCUGGGGGAUGUAAUCGAAAACUUUCUUUAACCACUGCCUUCAAGUACUGCAUGCUACUUAGAUCUUCCUCUGUUAUGUGAGUUCUACCAUUAACCACAUUCCUUAUCUCACAUUUUAACUUCUGCAUCACAAUUGGGUACCUUAAGAGUUCUGUCAUUAUCCACUCUAGGAUUGAGGAGCUGGUGUCAGUACCUGCCACAAACAUAUCCUGAAAAAAAUACCCAUCAACUAUCAAUUUCAUUGUCUAUACCUUGAAUUUUCCAUGAACGAAAAUAAACUCAACAUGUAUUAAGAUUUUGUAGAUGUGAUUUAACUUUUGCUCAGAAAAGUAAGUAUAUAUAGCUUUUGCUAGAGAGAUAUUAGAAAACUAACUUAGUGUUUGACUCUGCAAUAGACUCUACUAUGAAGUGAAAUUCACGUAAGAUUUCUUAAACAAGAAGUAAAACCUAAUGAAACAGAUUCAUUCACUGAAACCCAAAUGAGUUCACCAACUAGUUUUCAAUCAAAGACAUAAUUUCUAAUAUUGUAUGAAUGUUAGACAUACAAAAUUAAAGACUAAGCCACUUUGAUUUUUAAGAUUUGUAAACGCUAGUCACCUUAUAAUAAAACUUCCACCAAACCUUUUGGUUUAGUCCCUAGCUGAUUUGUGAAAUCUCUAUUACUUUUAGUGUUUUCUCACAUCAUCUUUGACUUUAAGGAUUGAACUGCAUGAUGCUUCAGCAAAAUAAAGAUUCUAUUAAGUUAGAAAGUAGAGUAGCUGUCUAGAGAAUAUUAGGAACUAAUUAAUGAGGGAUAACACAUUUGUUCUAAUCUUGCAUACCAGGAUCAAAGCCUUUAUGGUUGUUCUAUCAAUCUCAAACCCCGUUGCGUUUUGCUCUUGGAUCCUCAGCAAAAUGUCAACGAAAUCAUUCUGCUCUUCAUCAUCAUCACCAUGCACAUGACGCACUCUCCUACUUACAUGCUCAUCAAGAACUUGAUCAAAAAAUUCAUCAAGCUGUUUAGCCACUCUCUUUGCCCUACCAUACAUUCCAUUAACGCUUCCCAACCAAUCAAGCCAAGGUAUGUAGUCCCCUAUAACUGAAGCACCCAACAGCUCCAUCAUCUCAUUCAUUGGCUCCCAAAGCUUACUCCCUCCUUCUCCACUGUAUCUCCUUCCGAGAGCAGCUCUACACACUAUGUCAUUUGUGAGUGUAGUAAAUAAAUAACUUAAAUUCACAGGCAUCAAAGAAGAACAACACUGUUUAAUCUCUUCCAUCAUUAGGGAGAUCUCUUCUUCUCUCACUGCACCAAAGGAUUGAACCUUUUUGGCACUGAGAAGAUGCAAGACACAAAUACUCCUUAUCUGCCUCCAGUAGUUGCCAUAUGGAGCAGAUGCCACAUCUUUGGAAUCAUAUAUGAUGAUAUCAGAGAUCUUUCGAUGUGGUCUGUUGCAGAAGAUGUGUUCUUGGGUUUUGAGAACCUCACAUGCUGCUUCAGCACUUGAGACAACAAGAACUGGCACCUUCCCAAAGUGAAGCAACAUUAAAGGGCCAUAGGUUUGAGCAAAGGAUUGGAGAGUGUGGUGAGGGAGGGGGCCAAGUUGGUGUAGGUUUCCUAUUAUUGGAAGCUUUGGAGGAGAUGGAGGUAGCUUUUUUGCUGAUUUGAACUUCAGUUUGGACAGAAGAUUGAAGAUGGUGCGAAAGGCUAGUAAGAUAAAGAAUGGUAGCAUGGGAAUGAAGAACCACAAGGGAAUGGUUCCAUUCAGAAAAUUCGUCAUUGGCUUCUGCUUCAAG
This 7199-nucleotide long non-coding RNA is filed under the name Phaseolus vulgaris (common bean). RNAcentral describes it as "long non-coding RNA (PVUL_LNC003643)". Lineage: Eukaryota; Viridiplantae; Streptophyta; Magnoliopsida; Fabales; Fabaceae. The record is from RNAcentral.